This 568-nucleotide long non-coding RNA is filed under the name Brassica napus (rape). Its description in RNAcentral is "long non-coding RNA (BNAP_LNC025766)". The record is from RNAcentral. Lineage: Eukaryota; Viridiplantae; Streptophyta; Magnoliopsida; Brassicales; Brassicaceae.
UCUUCUCCUCACGUACUCCAUCUUCUGCUCCUCAUCUACUCUUUUUCUCCUCUUCUUCUCAAUCUCAACUUAUCUCCUUUGCUCAAUCUCCAUUCAUCUCCAUGUCUAUCCCUACUCUACCUCCAUUCACACCUGCCGUCGUUAGCAUUAGUCGCCAUUGUCGUAGAGACCAAGCCGAUUUCAUGACUCUCUGUUUCAUCUUCUUUCUUCAUCGUUUGUGAAGAAGCAAGGUGUUUCACUCCUCUUCUAAUCUCUUUCUCUGCAUCUCUUAAGCUAUUUCUAAUUGUUUUUCUUUGUUUUGUUUACAGAUCUGAGAAGAAGCAGACACGUCGGAGGUGGUGGCGUGACGGAGGAAACGCGCUGGAGGUGGUAUCGUGACGGAACAGACAUGCCGGAUCUGGUGGUGUGAUGAAGGAAACGCGACGGAGAUGGUGGUGAAGCACUGAAGCUACGGCGGUGGAGGUGCUGAAGCCGACGGUGACAUUCCUCUGUACCCGUAUAGAUGACGAUGUAUUUGUGUGUAUAUCUGUGUAUUUGUGUAAUAUAUAUAAUAAUGAUAAUUUAAAAC